CGGGUGAGUAACACGUGGAUAACCUACCUAUAAGACUGGGAUAACUUCGGGAAACCGGAGCUAAUACCGGAUAAUAUAUUGAACCGCAUGGUUCAAUGGUGAAAGACGGUUUUGCUGUCACUUAUAGAUGGAUCCGCGCCGCAUUAGCUAGUUGGUAAGGUAACGGCUUACCAAGGCAAUGAUGCGUAGCCGACCUGAGAGGGUGAUCGGCCACACUGGAACUGAGACACGGUCCAGACUCCUACGGGAGGCAGCAGAC
Molecule: ribosomal RNA, 259 nt
Filed under: uncultured Staphylococcus sp.
Lineage: Bacteria; Bacillati; Bacillota; Bacilli; Caryophanales; Staphylococcaceae
Description: partial 16S ribosomal RNA
Rfam family: Bacterial small subunit ribosomal RNA
Source: RNAcentral